UAAAAAUGUGAUGGAAGACUUACUUUUGUCAUUUCAACAUGUCAAAUCUGUAAUGGAGGAAUCUAAUAUGGAAGAAGAAUCAAAGCCGAGUCUAGUUGCUCGUUUUGGAAGAAUUCUCUUUCAUGGGAUUUCUGCAAAAAGUCAAGAAUCCCUCAAUAGUAACCUAUUAAAGGAAACUACCUUGAGGCAAAUGAGAAAAUCUUUCUAUACCAGUGUUCCUCUUUCAUACAUGGAAUAUAUACGAAACCUUGCAGUUGAAAAACUUGACUUACAAUAUGUGG
This 281-nucleotide unclassified non-coding RNA is filed under the name Hevea brasiliensis (rubber tree). The record is from RNAcentral. Lineage: Eukaryota; Viridiplantae; Streptophyta; Magnoliopsida; Malpighiales; Euphorbiaceae.